This 95-nucleotide ribosomal RNA is filed under the name Podosphaera xanthii. Its description in RNAcentral is "partial 28S ribosomal RNA". It matches the Rfam family "Eukaryotic large subunit ribosomal RNA", at positions 1 to 87 of the family's 3401-position model. Lineage: Eukaryota; Fungi; Ascomycota; Leotiomycetes; Helotiales; Erysiphaceae. The record is from RNAcentral.
AUGACCUCGGAUCAGGUAGGGAUACCCGCUGAACUUAAGCAUAUCAAUUAAAGCGGAAGGAAAAAGAAACCAAACAGGGGAUUACCCUCAGUAAC